This is a long non-coding RNA of Brassica oleracea var. oleracea, 192 nucleotides long. RefSeq lists it as uncharacterized. The transcript has 3 exons. The record is from RefSeq and is a predicted model, not a curated record. NCBI's taxonomy places the organism in Eukaryota, Viridiplantae, Streptophyta, Magnoliopsida, Brassicales, Brassicaceae.
GUUUGGAGUGGAUAGAUUUGAUGCUAUUCUUCCUCCAGGACAGGGUGCUAUAAUGGCCGUUGGAGCUUCGAAACCGACUGUAGUUGCUGAUAAGGAUGGGUUCUUCAGUGUGAAAAACAAAAUGCUGGUGAAUGUGACAGCAGAUCAUCGUAUUGUCUACGGAGCUGAUUUGGCUGCUUUCCUUCAAACCUU